GGUUUGAGCCUGAACCCACUAUGCCACCUCCAUGCCAGUGCAGGAACGGUGGAACCUGUUAUUUUGAUGACAAUAAGGCACUUUGCAUGUAAGCUUGUGGUCUGAUAUUGACAUGCAUGUUACAUCAGAAAAAAAAAUGUUUAAAAAGCGAGGAUGGAUAAGCUUAUGGAUGUAGUAAUGCUAACUGUUCAUCCCCACCUUGUAGUUGCCCCCCCGAAUGGAACGGAGAUUUCUGCGAGACCAGUGUUUAUGGUGUAGUCACAACCUCAGUUGCUAUUGCCCUUGGAGUUACAACGUUUGUGGCUCUUUUCCUGGUUUGCCUUAUAUAUUCUGCAAAAAAGAAGGAGAAAAUUAUGAACACUCUGCAUAGCAUUAAUCUGCCUAUUAGUGUAUCUAACUUCAGUAGGCCCAGCUUCUGGUGAGAAUGAAAAAGUGUAUAAUAAAUAUUGGUGAAUAUUAGAAAAAAAGUGAAUAUAAUGAAUGUAGAUAUUGUGCAGAUAUUAUAUACAGUUACAGUAUAUAACAAAAUAAACCUUUGGUUUGGUUUUACUUCAAUAAUUAGGGGUGGUAACUCUGAAUGUUUUAACAUCCCAUCUGAAUCGGCGAAUGACAGCAGCAACAUUCCCAAAGAGGAAUCCAGCACAUCAGAAGAAGUGGAGGGAAAAGGAGGGAGUUUCGAGAACCCAGCAUACAGUGAGGAUUCCCAGGGAUCUUCUGCUGCACCUACUGCUGUAGCCACUGUCAUGAAUGGGCCUGCCAAUGAGAGUGUUGAAAACCCAAUGUAUGCUGCUGAGUUGAGCUUUCUGACCCAGCCAAAUGAUGGUCCAACCCCUGUCAAUGCAGAUGCCACACCAUUGAACACUGAGCCUGACAAGGCUGAUACUUCACAGCUACAGAACGGGGUGGAUAUGCAUGCUAUGUUCGACAAUCCCUUAUAUAUGGUGAGAAAAAGGGACUGUGUAUGGGUUUGGGCAAAUACCAUGAAUUGGUUUGAUUUUGAAGUACAAGGGAAGAAUGUUUCCGAAUAA
Molecule: long non-coding RNA, 1028 nt
Filed under: Carassius auratus (goldfish)
Lineage: Eukaryota; Metazoa; Chordata; Actinopteri; Cypriniformes; Cyprinidae
Description: lncRNA (ENSCARG00000044421.1)
Source: RNAcentral